Molecule: ribosomal RNA, 806 nt
Filed under: marine metagenome
Description: bacterial SSU rRNA
Rfam family: Bacterial small subunit ribosomal RNA
Source: RNAcentral
UGGAACUGCCAUCAAAACUUUUCAGCUAGAGUAUGAUAGAGGAAAGCAGAAUUUCUAGUGUAGAGGUGAAAUUCGUAGAUAUUAGAAAGAAUACCAAUUGCGAAGGCAGCUUUCUGGAUCAUUACUGACGCUGAGGAACGAAAGCAUGGGUAGCGAAGAGGAUUAGAUACCCUCGUAGUCCAUGCCGUAAACGAUGUGUGUUAGACGUUGGAAAUUUAUUUUCAGUGUCGCAGCGAAAGCGAUAAACACACCGCCUGGGGAGUACGACCGCAAGGUUAAAACUCAAAUGAAUUGACGGGGACCCGCACAAGUAGUGGAGCAUGUGGUUUAAUUCGAAGAUACGCGCAGAACCUUACCAACACUUGACAUGUUCGUCGCGACUUUAAGAGAUUAAAGUUUUCGGUUCGGCCGGACGAAACACAGGUGCUGCAUGGCUGUCGUCAGCUCGUGUCGUGAGAUGUUGGGUUAAGUCCCGCAACGAGCGCAACCCUCACUUUUAGUUGCCAUCAUUAAGUUGGGCACUCUGAAAGAACUGCCAGUGAUAAGCUGGAGGAAGGUGGGGAUGACGUCAAGUCCUCAUGGCCCUUACGUGUUGGGCUACACACGUGCUACAAUGGUAUCUACAACAGGAAGCAAGACGGCGACGUUAAGCAAAUCCUUAAAAGAUACCUCAGUUCGGAUUGCACUCUGCAACUCGAGUGCAUGAAGCUGGAAUUACUAGUAAUCGUGGAUCAGCGUGCCACGGUGAAUGCGUUCCCGGGUCUUGUACACACCGCCCGUCACACCAUGGGAGUUGGUUCUACCUU